GGCUACACAUGCAAGUCGAGCGGCAGCGGGAAAGUAGCUUGCUACUUUUGCCGGCGAGCGGCGGACGGGUGAGUAAUGCCUGGGAAAUUGCCCAGUCGAGGGGGAUAACAGUUGGAAACGACUGCUAAUACCGCAUACGCCCUACGGGGGAAAGCAGGGGACCUUCGGGCCUUGCGCGAUUGGAUAUGCCCAGGUGGGAUUAGCUAGUUGGUGAGGUAAUGGCUCACCAAGGCGACGAUCCCUAGCUGGUCUGAGAGGAUGAUCAGCCACACUGGAACUGAGACACGGUCCAGACUCCUACGGGAGGCAGCAGUGGGGAAUAUUGCACAAUGGGGGAAACCCUGAUGCAGCCAUGCCGCGUGUGUGAAGAAGGCCUUCGGGUUGUAAAGCACUUUCAGCGAGGAGGAAAGGUUGAUGCCUAAUACGUAUCAACUGUGACGUUACUCGCAGAAGAAGCACCGGCUAACUCCGUGCCAGCAACCGCGGUAAUACGGA
Molecule: ribosomal RNA, 495 nt
Filed under: Aeromonas sp. AER21/VDL/08
Lineage: Bacteria; Pseudomonadati; Pseudomonadota; Gammaproteobacteria; Aeromonadales; Aeromonadaceae
Description: bacterial SSU rRNA
Rfam family: Bacterial small subunit ribosomal RNA
Source: RNAcentral